CCAUUUGACCCGAAAUAAUGAAACCUUCAUAAGCUAAUUGGUAGCUUAAGGUGACUACAAUCAAAGAUAAUGGUUGACUUUGAAGAAACCAUCUUUGACGUAGUCUUAGUUUCAAUUAAUUCGAAGAUUGCUAGCUACAACUAAAUGGUGAUUCAAUGUUUGGACAUUAUAUGGGUUUUCGAAACCAUUAUUAAGAUAGUCUUGAUAAUAUAUAUGUCUAAAACUAUGAAUCACAAGACAUAUAAGUUGUAGAGAUCCAUCCAUCAUGAAUCUUAGCAAGCUAGUGGGAGCUAUAUGCAUCUUAUGAGAGAAAGUUCAAAUUGUUUAAUUUCUCAUAAAGAUGUAAAUGAACCUUUUGUUUACUAGGUUUACAAAAGAUUAGUGGGAGUUAAUCAUGUUCCUAAAAUUUAAAUAUAUAUGAUAUAUUAAUUUUGGAAAUGAAAAGAAUACUUCUUCGUUAAAGUUAUGACUUUAAAACAUUAUAUGAAGAUAGAAUGUAUAUGAGAGUUAAUCAUGUUCCUAAAAUUCAAAUAUAUAUGAUAUAUUAAUUUUGGAAAUGAAAAGAAUACUUCUUCGUUAAAGUUAUGACUUUAAAACAUUAUAUGAAGAUAGAAUGUAUAUGGGAGACAUAGUCUAUAUACAUGGGAUGUAAAUCUAUAAUGAUAGAUUUUAGGAUAUAAUUGGAUUAUAUCAAUCCCUAAUAAUAGACAAGAGAUGCUAGGAAGUUUCUCAUAUAAUGAUAAACUUCAAUUAGAAGGACGAUUCUAGUGAGACUAGCAAGUUGCCCUUCUCAAAGGGAACGUACCCUUUGACUCCCAAAGAAAUAAUGCGUAAAUAGAAUCCUUUAUGCGUAAGCAGAAAGGUGAUUUAUGUAUUUCAUAUUGUAUGAAAAAUAUUGAUAUGAGUUGUACCUAGAACGGUACAAGACGAUAUCAGUGAAAGCCCAGGAUCAGAACCAUGGCAACUGUCAAGUGAAUCCUUAAGUAUUUAAGAAAUACUAAAGGAUGGAUUCCUCAAAGAAAUGAGGAAGAAUUAGAGUAACGUAAUGGAAGCGUAAAUGUAUUAGAUUGUGAAUCUAAUCCAUCAUUGGAUGUUUCUUCAUUAUGAAUGAAGAGAUAAACAGAUAUCUCUUUAUUAUGACUAAAGAGAUAUUUGGAUGGAAACAUUAAACUAAUGACUUUAGUGUGUUCCAUUAUGAAUGCAAAAUAUAUUUCCAUAUAGAAGCUUACAACAAUGUUGUUUGGAUAGGAAAGUUCAUUUAUGAACUCCCUAUUCGGUUCCAACCAGAAAGUGUAUCUAGUGUACUGACACUAUGACACUAAUGGGGCGAUAGCUCAAGCCAGGGAAUCAAGGUCUCAUUAAGAUCUGAACUCAUAUGAGAGACUGAACCACAUGAUUGAGAAUCAUGUAUAAUGGUGACGUCGUUAUUCUCAAGGUUGCUUCUAUGGAUAAGAUAUAGAUAUCCAUUGCCUAGGUCUACUACUCAGCCAUUUUUGAAAUGACUACAGAAGAGGUAUCAUCACUGAUAACCAAGCUGAUUGGCUCUAGUGCAAGUGGGAGAUUGUUGGAAAUGUGCCCUAAAACCAAUCAUAUGAUGAUACUUUACGGACAUUUCACAUGUUAAACUAAUCUAGUUUAAUAUCAAGGGCAAAGAUUAUUGUUUAAGCCGUCUCAUAUAAAUGUUAUAUGCUUAAACGAUAAGUCCAAGGAAUAUGUAAUCAGGAGAAUAUGAUUUAAACAAGUUAGAUUAAUGAGACCAUUCUCUUUCGUAUACAUAUCUUAAACGUUCCUGAUCAUAGGAUUGCUAAUUGGGCAUUGACAGUCCGUUAAGAUCAGUACGUGUUGUGUCUUCUCUCAGGGAGAGUGACUAGUCUCGAGUAAUUGGUGUGUGUGACAUCAAGAUAAGCAUGUAGGUGCUCAAUAGCGAAUGAGUCCACUGAACACGAUCAACGAAGAGUUUUCAUACUCAUGUCACAUGAGAACUCAUGGUUGGGAUAAUGCAAAGUAGUCAUUUGACCUAAGGCAUCAUAGUUGUCUUGUGCUUAAGUCCUUGAUCUUUGAUUGUGUCAAAGUCACUCCAUUCGAGGGUGUCCACGACAUCGUUGGGGUUAAGCCACUUAGCCAUGGAGGCAAGUGAAUGCGCAACAAGGGAUCUCUAACCUUCAAACC
This 2169-nucleotide long non-coding RNA is filed under the name Malus domestica (apple). RNAcentral's name for it is "long non-coding RNA (MDOM_LNC015458)". The record is from RNAcentral. Lineage: Eukaryota; Viridiplantae; Streptophyta; Magnoliopsida; Rosales; Rosaceae.